RNAcentral lists this ribosomal RNA (429 nucleotides) under Actinomycetes bacterium. Its description in RNAcentral is "Actinobacteria bacterium partial 16S ribosomal RNA". It matches the Rfam family "Bacterial small subunit ribosomal RNA", at positions 355 to 776 of the family's 1533-position model. The record is from RNAcentral. Lineage: Bacteria; Bacillati; Actinomycetota; Actinomycetes.
UAGGGAAUCUUCCGCAAUGGGCGAAAGCCUGACGGAGCAACGCCGCGUGAGUGAUGAAGGUCUUCGGAUCGUAAAACUCUGUUAUUAGGGAAGAACAAAUGUGUAAGUAACUAUGCACGUCUUGACGGUACCUAAUCAGAAAGCCACGGCUAACUACGUGCCAGCAGCCGCGGUAAUACGUAGGUGGCAAGCGUUAUCCGGAAUUAUUGGGCGUAAAGCGCGCGUAGGCGGUUUUUUAAGUCUGAUGUGAAAGCCCACGGCUCAACCGUGGAGGGUCAUUGGAAACUGGAAAACUUGAGUGCAGAAGAGGAAAGUGGCAUUCCAUGUGUAGCGGUGAAAUGCGCAGAGAUAUGGAGGAACACCAGUGGCGAAGGCGACUUUCUGGUCUGUAACUGACGCUGAUGUGCGAAAGCGUGGGGAUCAAACAGG